UGGCCACAUCAGGGGCAGGAGAGGAGGGGACUUUGAAGGAUAUGGACAGAAGCCUCAAAAUACCUUUUAUGCCUUUCAUGGCCCAUGAUGCAAACUUGUCACGAUGUUGUCAACUAAUACAAGCCCUGGGUCGGAAAGCCUGUUUAAUAAAUCGCCAGGGCCAGAGGUGUAAUGCAGAGGGAUAAACAAGUUUGUUAAGUGGAUGACCCUUGUGAGUCUUUUUUCAGGUUCUGCUCAGAUGACACCUGCUCCACAAAGUUCCUUGGACCCUCCCUCACCCGCAAAUGCCCUCAUGUGGCGUUCCUCCUGCACUUCCUUCAGCUGUUCUCAUUUUCUAUAUGUUACAACUAUUUAGAAAGGUCUCGGCUUCCUCACUGGGCCUAGAUCCUUGAGGGCAGAGUUUUACUUGUCUAUGCCGGCCUGUCAGUGUGGUGCUCAUGGUGGGUUCUUAGUAUCUGAAAAAGGGAAAGGAGGAGGAAGCUGGAACCCUAACUGGGGAAAGGAUCAAAUAACUAAAAAUUCAGCUUCUUCUGGCCUGCAAAGUGUCAGGGAUCUAUAACUGUGAGUGCUCUGAGAUUAGGCCACAGACUUUUGCUGUCUCAACAUUUUCUCCUCUUGGGACAUUUCCUUUGAGUUGAUGUUCUGCCAGUUUCUACAUUCAGGCUCAGCCUAUGGUGCCAACCUGUCAGUGUGGUGCCAGCGAGGUGCUCUCAGAGGGAGCAAGGCAAGAAGAGGUGACGAGAGCCCCAGACACAGUCUCACACUGAGGCAUGGGCAGCAGUAAAUGAGGAGAGGCUGGGUGAGGACCAGAGGACCAGGAGUCCAGGCCAGGAUGCGACACAGAAAAGGCAAGGGUUAGAUGGGCAAGGUGUGACAUCAGAGCCCGGCAAGAGGUCUCUGGCUGGGCUUUAGGGUCGCUACAUUUGGCAAAUACAAAUAAAGAAUGCCCUCACCUCACACCCUUUAGGAUGGCUAUUUGGGAAAACGAAAACAUCAGAUAGACGCGUUGGUGAGGACGUGGAGAAAUGGAAUCCUCGUGCACGGCUGGUGGGAGUGUAAAAUGUGCAGCCAGCCUGGAAAACAGUCUGGCAGUUCCUCGAAAAAUAAAACAGAGAAUGGCUGUAUGAUUCAGCAUCCCACUGCUGAGAAUAGACCCACAAGAACCGAAAGCAGAGCCUCAAAGAGACCUUUGCACACCCGUGUUCACAGCAGCGUUCCUCACAGCAGCUACAGCGUGGAAGCAACCCAGAGUCCAUCAACGAAUGAAUGGAUAAGCAAAACGUGGCUCGAUGGAACAGUCUUCAGUCUUACAGAGGAAAAAAAUUCUGACACAUCCUACAACAUAUGAAUGAACCUUGAGGAUAUUACACUAAGUGAAAUAAGCCAGUCACAAAAGGGCAAAUACUGUGUAAUUCCACUUAUCUGCAGUGUUUAGAGGAGUCAAAAUCACAGAUACACAAAGUAGCAUGGUGGUUGCCGGGGACUGGGGAGUUGGGGGAAUGUAGAGUUAUUGUUUAGUAGACAUAAGGUUUCAAUUUUACAAGAUAAAAGAGCUCGAGAGGCCGGGCAUGGUGGCUUGCGCCUGUAUUCCCAGCCUUUGGGAGGCCGAGGCGAGAGGAUCACUUGAGUCACGGAGCAGGAGACCAGCCUGGGCAACACAGCAAGACCCCAUCUCUACUAAACAAAUAAGCAAACAAACAAAGUUCUGGAGAUGGAUGGUGCUGAUGGUUGCACACAUCAUGAAUGUAUUUAGUACCACUAACUGUACACUUGAAAUUGGUUAAGAUGGUAAACAUUUUACAUUAUGUGUACAGUACCACAGUUUGAAAAUUGGGAAAAAAUGCAGUGCCCACAGUGAAAUUUGAAUUUUAAACACGAAUAAUUCUUUAGUAUCAUUAUAUUUCAUGCAACAUUGGGUAUGUAUGUAUACUAAAAAACUAUUCAUUGAUCUGAAAUUUCAUCAGGCAUCCUGUAUUAUGUCUGGCAACCCGGACACAGGUCAGGGUUCUAUAGUGAAUGGUGAUCAUGAUUCAUACACAGGCUGAGGGAAUUGUUCACAGAAGCGAGGAGAGGAGCAGAGAGGAGCUGGCUGUGAAGAGAGAGAAUAUAUGUUCUUCCCAUUUUCCUCUCCAGUCCUGGUAAAUAAAACAACAGUCAAAAUGUAUCUACUGACUCUCCAGGCAAGUCAGCCACCCCAGCACUACUCAUGUUUAUCUCUUCAAGAGCACUUACUUGUUAUUGGAUGUUUAUCUGCGACACGUCUGCCUCCCCCUUGAGGAGAAAGUAACCAAAGUUUUGAGUCAGAGAUCUAGGCUGAAACAAGACUCUGAAACUUAAGGUGUGUGACUUUAGCAAGUUAUUUAUCGUCUGUGAGCCUCAGUGUUCCACGAAUGUGAAUACCAUCAAGAUAUUCUAAUAAAUAAAUCAAGUAAUGUAGAUAAAACACAUAGCAGGUGCCCAGAAAUAUUAAGCACAACAUCUCUGAAGACCUGGAGUGCAGGGACCCAGUCCUAACAGUACCCGCGCUGCAGAGUCCUAACAGUACCCGCGCUGCAGAGUCCUAAUGAGAGGUGACAGCGUGCUGGCAGUCCUCAGAGCCCUCGCUUGCUCUCGGCCCGCCUCUGCCUGGGCUUCCACUUUGGCGGCACUUGAGGAGCCCUUCAGCCCCCCACUGCACUGUGGGAGCCCCUUUCUGGGCUGGCCAAGACCGGAGCCCGCUCCCUCAGCUUGCAGGGAGGUGUGGAGGGAGAGGCGCGAGCGGGAACCGGGGCUGCGUGCGGCGCUUGCGGGCCAGCUGGAAUUCCGGGUAGGCGUGGGCUUGGCGGGCCCCGCACUCGGAGCAGCUGGCGGGCCCUGCUGGCCCCGGGCAAUGAGGGGCUUAGCACCCGGGCCAGCGGCUGCGGAGGGUGUACUGGGUCCCCCAGCAGUGCCAGCCCACCAGCGAUGUGCUCGAUUUCUCACCGGGCCUUAGCUGCCUUCCCGCUCGGCAGGGCUCGGGACCCGCAGCCCGCCCUGCCUGAGCUUCCCACCCCCUCCGUGGGCUCCUGUGCGGCCCGGGCCUCCCCGACGAGCGCCACCCCCUGCUCCACCAUGCCCAGUCCCAUCGACCACCCAAGGGCUGAGGAGUGCGGGCGCACGCGCAGGACUGGCAGGCAGCUCCACCUGCAGCCCCAGUGCGGGAUCCACUGGGCGAAGCCAGCUGGGCUCCUGAGUCUGGUGGGGACGUGGAGAACCUUUAUGUCUAGCUCAGGGAUUGUAAACACACCAAUCCACACUCUGUAUCUAGCUCAAGGUUUGUAAACACACCAAUCAGCACCCUGUGUCUAGCUCAGGGUUUGUGAGUGCACCAAUCGACACUCUGUAUCUAGCUGCUCUGGUGGGGCCUUGGAGAACCUGUGUGUGGAAACUCCGUAUCUAACUAAUCUGAUGGGGACGUGGAGAACCUUUGUAUCUAGCUCAGGGAUUGUAAACGCACCAAUCAGCGCCCUGUCAAAACAGGCCUCUAGGCUCUACCAAUCAACAGGAUGUGGGUGGGGCCAGAUAAGAGAAUAAAAGCAGGCUGCCCGAGCCAGCAGCGGCAAGCCGUUCCGGUCCCCUUCCAUUGUGUGGAAGCUCU
This is a long non-coding RNA of Homo sapiens (human), 3616 nucleotides long. Lineage: Eukaryota; Metazoa; Chordata; Mammalia; Primates; Hominidae. The record is from Ensembl.